RNAcentral lists this ribosomal RNA (38 nucleotides) under Theileria orientalis. RNAcentral describes it as "12S ribosomal RNA". The record is from RNAcentral. Lineage: Eukaryota; Apicomplexa; Aconoidasida; Piroplasmida; Theileriidae.
AAGUCGAAACAAGGUAGUUGACAGUGAACUUGUAGCUG